GAUACUUUGGAACACGAUCAUCGUAGCCUCGAUAUGAUGACGUACAUCGAAUGUUUUGCUCUUUGUAUCUAUGUAAAAUUACCAUACGUACAUGAGAAAACUUACAAAAUUUUUAAAGAAGACGAUCAUAAUCAAGUUGUACAAAUUCUCAAGGAGCGGAUAUUGUACCAUCACUUACUUCUUGUAACUAUCAGAUAACUACACAAUCACACGUCGCUCUUUCAUGAGUACAACGAAUUCAUUAACAUGGCAGAAAACACUCUUCAAUCGCGGAAAUUUCUGCCAGUGAGAAGUCCACCAUCAUGUUUCUGGGGUUCCACUCCGGAUUUUCCCUGCUCAAUAUUCGGAGUACCUCGGAUAUUGAGCCAGUGUCUUCAUUUUCUGGAAUAAAAACUGCGACGACAAUGUAUCCAACAUUUGAUCUGACGCAUAAAAAGAAGAGUGGCAAGGCGUACCUAUCACAAUGGAAAAUGUGUUCACAGUUUUUUCCUGCUUGAAUAGUAUUUGCAUCACAUCUCUUUACCUGCAUGUUCUGUAUGUAGCAUCCAUGAGACACAUCUCCUGCCCGUACAAUAAUAAUAGGCGCUUCAUCCACUUCGCUUGAUACACAAAUAAAAAAGUGCUUUUUACGUGUUUUUCA
Xenia sp. Carnegie-2017 is the source of this 640-nucleotide long non-coding RNA. RefSeq lists it as uncharacterized. Lineage: Eukaryota; Metazoa; Cnidaria; Anthozoa; Malacalcyonacea; Xeniidae. The transcript is spliced from 3 exons. The record is from RefSeq and is a predicted model, not a curated record.